RNAcentral lists this non-coding RNA (181 nucleotides) under Neurospora crassa OR74A. RNAcentral describes it as "Neurospora crassa eukaryotic large subunit ribosomal RNA". It matches the Rfam family "Eukaryotic large subunit ribosomal RNA", at positions 1640 to 1825 of the family's 3401-position model. The record is from Rfam by way of RNAcentral. Lineage: Eukaryota; Fungi; Ascomycota; Sordariomycetes; Sordariales; Sordariaceae.
CGCGGCAACGCAACUGAACGCGGAGACGACGGCAGGGGGCCCAGGCAGAGUUCUCUUUUCUUAACGGUCUAUCACCCUGAAAACAGUCUGUCUGUAGAUAGGCUUUAAUGGCCGGAAUAGCCCGACACUUCUGUCGUGUCCGGUACGCUCUCGACGUUCCUUGAAAAUCCGCGGCAGGAAA